Asparagus officinalis (garden asparagus) is the source of this 482-nucleotide long non-coding RNA. RefSeq lists it as uncharacterized. The record is from RefSeq and is a predicted model, not a curated record. The transcript is spliced from 3 exons. Lineage: Eukaryota; Viridiplantae; Streptophyta; Magnoliopsida; Asparagales; Asparagaceae.
AUAUCCGCGCCCCCCCUCCCUCGCCUCCCCCAUCUCUAAAAUUUUUAGAAUUUUCGCGCCCUAGCAAACCCUAAUGUUUCCCCACCCCACACCCCCAAUCUUACCCUCUCAAAUUUUCAGAAUAUCCGCUCCCCCCCUCUCUCACGCCGCCCCAUCUUUCCCUCUCAAAUUUUCAGAAUUUUCGCGCCCUCCCCCCACCUCCUCCGCCCUCUCCGCCGCCCCGCCCCAUCCCUUCCUCUCGAGCUUUCUCUCUCCUCUAGCUCUCGCCAAAUCAUCUCCUCAUCAGAUCACUGACCAAGAGAUCAGAGAGAAGAUGCCGACGUCGAAAGUGGGAUGUGGGGAUGGAGGUGUAAGUCGUCGGUGAUCAAGAAGGAGAACUGUGUGCUUCGAUGUCUAUCGCCUACUUGCUAUUCUCUCGUCUACGAGAGUGAUCCUGUAAUUUUUUUUACUGUUUUUCCCCCUAGGGUUUAUUUGAUUGAUUU